RNAcentral lists this ribosomal RNA (322 nucleotides) under uncultured eukaryote. RNAcentral's name for it is "partial 18S ribosomal RNA". It matches the Rfam family "Eukaryotic small subunit ribosomal RNA", at positions 1470 to 1796 of the family's 1831-position model. The record is from RNAcentral.
CCCUUAGAUGUUCUGGGCCGCACGCGUGCUACACUGAGUGGAUCAGCGGGUCAGGUUGCGCGAAAGUGUUUCCUAAUCUUGAAAUCCGCUCGUGAUGGGGAUUGACGGUUGCAAUUUUCUGUCAUGAACGAGGAAUACCUUGUAAGCGCGGGUCAUCAUCCCGCGCUGAAUACGUCCCUGCCCUUUGUACACACCGCCCGUCGCUCCUACCGAUUGAGUGGUCCGGUGAGGCUUUGGGAUCUGGAUGGAAAGAGCGUUUCGCUGUUUCUGCCUGGAAAACUCAGUCGAACCUUAUCAUUUAGAGGAAGGAGAAGUCGUAACA